AUCAACUCCUCCUGAGAGCCAUAAAUCUGCCAAGAGUUGUUUUCCAUGUAAGGGUGUGAUACAAUGGGGAACACCUGAUGUUGGAGGAAAGCAGGAGGACUUUAGAGUGGAGUUGCCUUCUAAUCUCUCUGCCACUUCAACUAUGUGACCUGGGGCAAAUGAUAUAAACUCUAUGAGCCUCUUUCCUUAUCUUUAAAAUGAAGAGAAGUAAUACCUACCUUGUAGGGCUGUUGUGAAGAUUAAAUGAAGUAAUGCAUACAGUGCCUAACAAAGUAUUUAACAUCAUAUUUUUUAAAAGCUCAUGAAAUAUUAGUUUUUCUUCCUUCCCCUCUAUUUUCUCUCCUGUUCCCUUUUCUUUCCCUCCUCUGCCCUCUCCUUCCUUCAGAUGUUAGUCUAAAACAGCACCUUGGAUCUAAGCAGCACCUUUGAGAAAGAAAAGACUGCUUCAAGAAUGUCUAGUUGCACCUCCUUUCCGUAUGUGGCCUAAAUGCCUAGGUUGGAUCAAUAGUUUAAUUUUUUUAUUGAACUGUUUAAUAUUGACUAUGGACUUACAUUCACUUUUACUGUUUUCUGUAUAUUUACUUUUGCUUGAAGUGUUUUAAUAUUGACUAUUUACCUCUGCUCAUUUUUAUUGAUUUUCUGUAUUUUUUCAAUGAAAAUUAUAAUAAAAAUUAUUUUUGUUA
RNAcentral lists this small RNA (683 nucleotides) under Pan troglodytes (chimpanzee). RNAcentral describes it as "retained intron". Lineage: Eukaryota; Metazoa; Chordata; Mammalia; Primates; Hominidae. The record is from RNAcentral.